UACGGAGGGUGCAAACGUUGCUCGGAAUCAUUGGGCGUAAAGCGCACGUAGGCGGCUUCUUAAGUCGGUGGUGAAAUCCUGGAGCUCAACUCCAGAACUGCCUUCGAUACUGGGAAGCUCGAGUCCGGGAGAGGUGAGUGGAACUGCGAGUGUAGAGGUGAAAUUCGUAGAUAUUCGCAAGAACACCAGUGGCGAAGGCGGCUCACUGGCCCGGUACUGACGCUGAGGUGCGAAAGCGUGGGGAGCAAACAGG
Molecule: ribosomal RNA, 253 nt
Filed under: uncultured bacterium
Lineage: Bacteria
Description: partial 16S ribosomal RNA
Rfam family: Bacterial small subunit ribosomal RNA
Source: RNAcentral